CCCGACUGCUAUUUGGGUGAGAAUAAGCCAUGCGAGUUGAAUGGGAUACCUAAAGUUCCCAUAGCAAACUGCUCAGUAACACAUGAUCAACUUACCCUAUAGAGAAAAAUAACCUCGGGAAACUGAGGAUAAUGUUUCAUAAUUGUAUUGGCUUGGAAAGGUUUUUCAAUGAAAAGGAUAAAAAAAAUGGUUUUUAUCCGCUAUAGGAUAGGAUCGUGUUCGAUUAUGGUUGUUGGUGAGAUAAUGGCUCACCAAGCCGAUAAUCGAUAGGGGCCGUGAGAGCGGGAGCCCCGAGAUGGGUACUGAGACAACGACCCAGCCUUACGAGGCGCAGCAGGCGCGGAACCUCCGCAAUACACGAAAGUGUGACGGGGUUACCCAAAGUUUCAAUAGAACUGUGGUAGGUGAGUAAUGUCCCCUACUAGAAAGGAGAGGGCAAGGCUGGUGCCAGCCGCCGCGGUAAAACCAGCUCUUCAAGUGGUCGGGAUAAUUAUUGGGCUUAAAGUGUCCGUAGCCGGUUUAGUAAGUUCCUGGUAAAAUCGGGUAGCUUAACUAUCUGCAUGCUAGGAAUACUGCUAUACUAGAGGGCGGGAGAGGUCUGAGGUACUACAGGGGUAGGGGUGAAAUCUUAUAAUCCUUGUAGGACCACCAGUGGCGAAGGCGUCAGACUGGAACGCGCCUGACGGUGAGGGACGAAAGCCAGGGGAGCGAACCGGAUUAGAUACCCGGGUAGUCCUGGCCGUAAACGAUGCAUACUAGGUGAUGGUACGGCCAUGAGCCGUAUCAGUGCCGUAGGGAAACCGUUAAGUGUGCCGCCUGGGAAGUACGGUCGCAAGGCUAAAACUUAAAGGAAUAGGCGCGGGAGCGCACCCCAAGGGGUGAAGCCUGCGGUUC
This 894-nucleotide ribosomal RNA is filed under the name uncultured archaeon. RNAcentral's name for it is "bacterial SSU rRNA". It matches the Rfam family "Archaeal small subunit ribosomal RNA", at positions 21 to 903 of the family's 1478-position model. The record is from RNAcentral.